GCAUAUCAAUAAGCGGAGGAAAAAGAAACCAACAGGGAUUACCUCAGUAACGGCGAGUGAAGCGGUAAUAGCUCAAAUUUGAAAUCUGCCGCAAGGCCGAGUUGUAAUUUGUAGAAGAUGCUUUGGAUAUGGCCCCGGUCUAAGUUCGUUGGAACACGACGUCAUAGAGGGUGAGAAUCCCGUAUGUGACUGGGUGCUUUUGUCUAUGUAAAGCUCUUUCGACGAGUCGAGUUGUUUGGGAAUGCAGCUCAAAAUGGGUGGUAUAUUUCAUCUAAAGCUAAAUAUUGGCCAGAGACCGAUAGCGCACAAGUAGAGUGAUCGAAAGAUGAAAAGCACUUUGGAAAGAGAGUUAAACAGUACGUGAAAUUGUUGAAAGGGAAGCGCUUGCAACCAGACUUGCACGCUGUUGAUCAUCCAGGCUUCUGUUUGGUGCACUCAACUGUGUUCAGGCCAGCAUCGGUUUUGGUGGUGGGAUAAAGGCCUUGGGAAUGUAGCUUCUUUCGGGGAGUGUUAUAGCCCUCGGUGCAAUGCCGCCUACUGGGACCGAGGACCGCGCUUCGGCUAGGAUGCUGGCGUAAUGGUUGUAAGCGACCCGUCUUGAAACACGGACCAAGGAGUCUAACAUCUAUGCGAGUGUUUGGGUGUCAAACCCAUACGCGUAAUUAACGUGAACGGAGGUGAGAACCCUUAAGGGUGCAUCAUCGACCGAUCCUGAUGUCUUCGGAUGGAUUUGAGUAAGAGCAUAGCUGUUGGGACCCGAAAGAUGGUGAACUAUGCCUGAAUAGGGUGAAGCCAGAGGAAACUCUGGUGGAGGCUCGCAGCGGUUCUGACGUGCAAAUCGAUCGUCAAAUUUGGGUAUAGGGGCGAAAGACUAAUCGAACCAUCUAGUAGCUGGUUCCUGCCGAAGU
RNAcentral lists this ribosomal RNA (908 nucleotides) under Articulospora tetracladia. Its description in RNAcentral is "LSU rRNA". It matches the Rfam family "Eukaryotic large subunit ribosomal RNA", at positions 38 to 967 of the family's 3401-position model. Lineage: Eukaryota; Fungi; Ascomycota; Leotiomycetes; Helotiales; Discinellaceae. The record is from RNAcentral.